UAAAGAUUCAUCGCUGAUAGAUAGGCAUGCGUUCCAUUAGGCAGUUGGCGGGGUAACGGCCCACCAAACCGACGAUGGAUAGGGGUUCUGAGAGGAAGGUCCCCCACAUUGGUACUGAGACACGGACCAAACUCCUACGGGAGGCAGCAGUGAGGAAUAUUGGUCAAUGGGCGUAAGCCUGAACCAGCCAAGUCGCGUGAGGGAUGAAGGUUCUAUGGAUCGUAAACCUCUUUUAUAAGGGAAUAAAGUGUGGGACGUGUCCUAUUUUGUAUGUACCUUAUGAAUAAGGAUCGGCUAACUCCGUGCCAGCAGCCGCGGUAAUACGGAGGAUCCGAGCGUUAUCCGGAUUUAUUGGGUUUAAAGGGUGCGUAGGCGGCCUUUUAAGUCAGCGGUGAAAGUCUGUGGCUCAACCAUAGAAUUGCCGUUGAAACUGGGGGGCUUGAGUAUGUUUGAGGCAGGCGGAAUGCGUGGUGUAGCGGUGAAAUGCUUAGAUAUCACGCAGAACCCCGAUUGCGAAGGCAGCCUGCCAAGCCAUGACUGACGCUGAUGCACGAAAGCGUGGGGAUCAAACAGGAUUAGAUACCCUGGUAGUCCACGCAGUAAACGAUGAUCACUAGCUGUUUGCGAUA
Molecule: ribosomal RNA, 629 nt
Filed under: uncultured bacterium
Lineage: Bacteria
Description: bacterial SSU rRNA
Rfam family: Bacterial small subunit ribosomal RNA
Source: RNAcentral